CCGGAGGUUACUGCUAUCGAGGUUCGACUAAGCCAUGCGAGUCGAAUGUAGCAAUACAUGGCGUACUGCUCAGUAACACGUGGACAACCUGCCCUUAGGUUGGGUAUAAACCCGGGAAACUGGGUAUAAUCCCCUAUAAGUCUCGGCUGCUGGAAUGCACCGAGAUUAAAAGCUCCGGCGCCUAAGGAUGGGUCUGCGGCCUAUCAGGUAGUAGUGGGUGUAGCGUACCUACUAGCCUACGACGGGUACGGGUUGUGAGAGCAAGAGCCCGGAGAUGGAUUCUGAGACACGAAUCCAGGCCCUACGGGGUGCAGCAGGCGCGAAAACUUUACAAUGCUGGCAACAGCGAUAAGGGAACCUCGAGUGCCAGGUUACAAAUCUGGCUGUCGAGAUGCCUAAAAAGCAUUUCAUAGCAAGGGCCGGGCAAGACCGGUGCCAGCCGCCGCGGUAACACCGGCGGCUCGAGUGGUAACCGUUAUUAUUGGGUCUAAAGGGUCUGUAGCCGGCCGGAUAAGUCUCUUGAGAAAUCUGGCAGCUUAACUGUCAGGCUUUCAGGAGAUACUGUCUGGCUCGAGGCCGGGAGAGGUGAGAGGUACUUCAGGGGUAGGGGUGAAAUCUUGUAAUCCUUGAAGGACCACCAGUGGCGAAGGCGUCCCACCAGAACGGACCUGACGGCAAGGGACGAAAGCUAGGGGCACGAACCGGAUUAGAUACCCGGGUAGUCCUAGCCGUAAACGAUACUCGCUAGGUGUCGGCCACGGUGCGACCGUUGUCGGUGCCGUAGGGAAACCGUGAAACGCGCCGCCUGGGGAGUACGGUCGCAAGGCUGAAACUU
RNAcentral lists this ribosomal RNA (835 nucleotides) under uncultured archaeon SAGMA-L. RNAcentral describes it as "bacterial SSU rRNA". It matches the Rfam family "Archaeal small subunit ribosomal RNA", at positions 17 to 857 of the family's 1478-position model. The record is from RNAcentral.